UCCGUUUUGUCAACGGCAGUCUCUCUAGAGUGCCCAACUUAAUGCUGGCAACUAAAGAUAAGGGUUGCGCUCGUUGCGGGACUUAACCCAACAUCUCACGACACGAGCUGACGACAGCCAAGCACCACCUGUGACAGCGCCCCGAAGGGAAGCCAUGUUUCCAUGGCGGUCGCUGACAUGUCAAACCCAGGUAAGGUUCUUCGCGUUGCGUCGAAUUAAACCACAUGCUCCGCUGCUUGUGCGGGCCCCCGUCAAUUCCUUUGAGUUUUAGCCUUGCGGCCGUACUCCCCAGGCGGGGCACUUAAUGCGUUAGCUCCGGCACGGGGGGAGUCGACACCCCCCACACCUAGUGCCCAUCGUUUACAGCGUGGACUAC
This 376-nucleotide unclassified non-coding RNA is filed under the name uncultured bacterium. RNAcentral's name for it is "contains 16S-23S intergenic spacer region". The record is from RNAcentral.